Molecule: ribosomal RNA, 496 nt
Filed under: uncultured bacterium
Lineage: Bacteria
Description: partial 16S ribosomal RNA
Rfam family: Bacterial small subunit ribosomal RNA
Source: RNAcentral
GAUGAACGCUAGCGGCAGGCCUAAUACAUGCAAGUCGAGGGGUAGAGCUAGCUUGCUAGCUUGAGACCGGCGCACGGGUGCGUAACGCGUAUGCAACCUACCCUUUUCUGGGGGAUAGCCCGGAGAAAUCCGGAUUAGUACCGCAUAAGACCACGAUACGGCAUCGUGAUGUGGUCAAACAUUUAUGGGAGAAGGAGGGGCAUGCGUGCCAUUAGCUAGUUGGCGGGGUAACGGCCCACCAAGGCGACGAUGGCUAGGGGAUCUGAGAGGAUGGCCCCCCACACUGGUACUGAGACACGGACCAGACUCCUACGGGAGGCAGCAGUAAGGAAUAUUGGUCAAUGGGGGCAACCCUGAACCAGCCAUGCCGCGUGCAGGACGACGGCCCUCCGGGUUGUAAACUGCUUUUGUACGGGAAUAAACCCCGCUACGUGUAGCGGGCUGAAUGUACCGUAAGAAUAAGGAUCGGCUAACUCCGUGCCAGCCGCCGCGGUAA